RNAcentral lists this ribosomal RNA (371 nucleotides) under uncultured organism. Its description in RNAcentral is "bacterial SSU rRNA". It matches the Rfam family "Bacterial small subunit ribosomal RNA", at positions 526 to 896 of the family's 1533-position model. The record is from RNAcentral.
CGUAGGGGGCGAGCGUUAUCCGGAAUCAUUGGGCGUAAAGGGCGCGUAGGCGGAUAUUUAAGUCAGGUGUGAAAACCCAGGGCUCAACCUUGGGAUUGCAUCUGAUACUGGGUAUCUUGAGGACAGGAGAGGAAAGUGGAAUUCCUAGUGUAGCGGUGAAAUGCGUAGAUAUUAGGAGGAACACCAGUGGCGAAGGCGACUUUCUGGACUGUAACUGACGCUGAGGCGCGAAAGCGUGGGGAGCAAACAGGAUUAGAUACCCUGGUAGUCCACGCCGUAAACGAUGAGUGCUAGGUGUAGGGGGUAUCGACCCUCCUGUGCCGCAGUUAACACAAUAAGCACUCCGCCUGGGGAGUACGGCCGCAAGGUUG